Molecule: long non-coding RNA, 393 nt
Filed under: Phascolarctos cinereus (koala)
Lineage: Eukaryota; Metazoa; Chordata; Mammalia; Diprotodontia; Phascolarctidae
Description: lncRNA (ENSPCIG00000033972.1)
Source: RNAcentral
UUCUCCUCUUCACCCUCUCUGUUUCCUUGAUCAUGAUUUUUUUUUCUUUUCUGAAUACAGUAUCUAUGCCUCUAAUCAGGAGAAAACUUGCAGCUGUGAACUAGAAUCUGACAAAUACUCUACCUGUGGCUUUAGGAUGCUGGCUGGCAGAAAUCAGGAGCAAUGCUCACAGGACUGCUGAGGAAGGAGUGACUGAGUAGAAUCAAGACCAAGGUAGUAUACCAGUAGCUAGCCUGGAUAAUUUAGAAAGUCUGUCAUUAGGUAGGGGUUUAAAAAAAAAGCACUUCUAUUUACAUUUGGUGUAUUCUUUCUGAAUUUGUGUGAUCUCUUUUACCUUGUAUAUAAACCUUAAAAAACCCAUUUUCAUGCUCUAUGCGGAGAAGGGAGGGAAGG